Molecule: unclassified non-coding RNA, 554 nt
Filed under: Hevea brasiliensis (rubber tree)
Lineage: Eukaryota; Viridiplantae; Streptophyta; Magnoliopsida; Malpighiales; Euphorbiaceae
Source: RNAcentral
AUCUUAUUGUGGUUUUUCUUUAGUAUUAGCUAGGUGCUCAAUCUCUUGUGUAACUUGUGUCGUCUUUGGUUUUUGUUGAUGUCAAAAUAUGAUCUUUAUAAGAGAAAUUCAAUGUGUCGUUUGUCCUUUUUGUAUCUCAUUUCUUCUUCGGCAUGACAAAGCUCAGGACUUUUUAUUUUUCAAUAAACCUGUUAUUUUUGAUUCAUGAGUUUUAUGUAAAUGGCCUAGUAAUUUGUUAUUAGAAAUGAAUUCUGCGUGCUACCAAGCAGUUGUAGCUUUUUAAUGGAAGAUAUAUAUAUAUAUUUGCAUAAAGUAUAUUAUCAUCAUAUAUGGUACUUGCACAGUAUUAAUAUUUGCAUUGAUCCACUCCUGUGCCUUGAAAUUCACAUAUGUCAAUAUUUGUUAAUGUUGUCUAAGAUGUUGAUUUGUUAUUCUCUCGUGUGUUGUUUCUAAUGAAGGUAUUUUUGCAAGUUGUAUAUUGGUUAGUGUUGUCUGAGUGUUGAAUUUUUACUCUCUUCUGUGAUAUUUACAGUGAAGGCAUUUCCCAAAGAUGA